RNAcentral lists this transfer RNA (70 nucleotides) under Moina macrocopa. RNAcentral's name for it is "tRNA-Asp". Lineage: Eukaryota; Metazoa; Arthropoda; Branchiopoda; Diplostraca; Moinidae. The record is from RNAcentral.
GAGGGUUUAAUUAAAAUGUUAUUAUAAUAUAAGCUUGUCAUGCUUAAUUUGCUCUUUAGAGCAACCUUCU